UAAAAUCCCUCCCUCUCCCCCCAACUUUCACCUAAAUAUCUCCGUAACGCGAGAGUGCAGAGAAACAUACAAGGGUUUUUUCUUCGGCACAUAUUAAUCAUCCAUCAAUUGCGAGCAAAGACAACCAAAUAUCAGCGCAGGUUUAAGGGUAACUCAAAAUGGCGGGAAGAAAUAGAAGUAUUCGUGAAAAUUUUAAUGACCGACGGGGGUUACCUGCUGAAAGACAUUUCAUCCCUGGCCCUCCUUUGCAGCAGCCACCUCCUCACCCUGCCUUAUUGGAAGAAGAGCUUGAAUUACAGCAUGCUGAAAUCCGGAGGCUCUUGAAUGAUAAUCGCAGGCUUGUUGAGGAUCGAAUGGCUUUGCAGCGAGAGCUUGGUGGUUCAAAGGAGGAGCUUCAUCGCAUGAACCUUGUCAUUGCUCAAAUUCGCAAAGAACAGGAGAUGCACUCUAGGGAACUGAUCGAGAAAGGGCUAAAGCUUGAGGCAGAUCUUCGUGCAACUGAUCCUUUGAAAAAGGAAGCUGCACAACUCCGUUCAGAAGUUCAGAAGCUUAAUAACAUUAGGCAGGAACUUUCUGGACAAGUUCAGAAUCUCAAGCAAGACCUUGCAAAAUUGCAAGCAGAUAAUCAACAGAUUCCUGUUCUAAAAGGAGAGAUUGAGGGACUGCACCAGGAACUUAUGCAUGCUAGAGCCGCCAUUGAUUAUGAGAAGAAGGCAAACUUUGAAUUGGUGGAGCAGAGACAGAACAUGGAGAAGAACUUGGUUUCAAUGGCACGUGAAGUUGAAAAGCUCCGUGCAGAACUUGCUACUGUUGAUGCUAGACCAUGGAGUGCUGGGGGACCAUAUGGAAUGAAGUUCAACAGUCCAGAUGGGGCUUUUCCUGCGCCUUAUGGAGAUGGAUAUGGUGGUCAUUUGGGUGCUGCUGAGAAAGGCCCUCUGUACGGCCCAGGUCCUGCUUCAUGGGAGAAAUCUCGCCUGACUCGUCGUUGAGAUGGAUAAUCAUGGUUGGAUUAAACAAAGGGGAAGUUGUUACUCUUUGAUGCUUGUUUGCCACUCUCACAUGGUGGAGCAGCAAGUGUCUGUCAUCUGUGUAUGCUUGCCAGAUCAGUAGAUUUUAUCUGAAUCCAUUUCUAAUGUUCCAUGAGGUACGCAUAUUUGUGAAAAUAGGGGACCAAAUCAGAUGUCUCCUCUUCCAUGUGAAAGAAGUAUAUGUUUUGUAGAUUGGACAGGAAGGAGGAUAAGAUAUACACCAGUACGCAGGCACAAUGAAGUUAUUUGUGUCUUAUGUUUGGUGCAUGCAAGGCUCUAUGGAGCAUUACGAGUCAUAUGGCUUGAUAAGUCAUUUUUCACUGAAUUUUUAAUAUGAUGACAAGGAGUAUGUUUAUAUCCACUAAACCCAAGAUUGGAUAAUGUCAUCUUACUCCUUCAGAUGGUACACCAACUGUGCUUUUUGUUGUACUUCUCGCAUGAUGUGACAGACCAUGGCACUGGGGGAGGCUGGAGGAGGGGUGAGAGGGAGAGAGGAGUGGAAAAGACAAUCUGUGGUUGCAGGGGAAACCCAUAAAUAUCUAGUUCAAGACUAAAGGAGAGUCAUGAGAAAAUUUCUCAAUAUUUGGUGUGUUGUUGGAGUUGCACAUAAAUGGGUGGUUCAGAGGGAAUUGUGUCUAUCAGCACAAUGUUUUGCCGCCCAUUUAAAGGAAAAUGUAUACUUUUUCUUGUCAUAAACAACACUAAUAGGUUUUUCGAAUCACUGGUAAAUAAAAUAGAUAAUGGUAAUGGGAGAUAAAUAAAUAAAUAAAUAAACAGUAUUUCUUGUGUAAGAUGAUACGUGAGGCAUGUAUGAAGCUGUGUUUUUUGUCUUA
Molecule: RNA transcript, 1861 nt
Organism: Carica papaya (papaya)
Lineage: Eukaryota; Viridiplantae; Streptophyta; Magnoliopsida; Brassicales; Caricaceae
Gene name: DNA double-strand break repair protein
Source: RefSeq, a predicted model, not a curated record